AUAACAAUACAGGACUCUUUCGAGGCCCUGUAACUGGAAUGAGUACACUUUAAAUCCUUUAACUAGGAUUUAUUGGAGGGUAAGUCUGGUGCAGAGUGACUGACCCGUGCGUGCUGCAGCUGAAA
RNAcentral lists this ribosomal RNA (125 nucleotides) under Pelobates cultripes (western spadefoot toad). RNAcentral's name for it is "SSU_rRNA_eukarya". The record is from RNAcentral. Lineage: Eukaryota; Metazoa; Chordata; Amphibia; Anura; Pelobatidae.